Molecule: ribosomal RNA, 468 nt
Filed under: uncultured bacterium
Lineage: Bacteria
Description: partial 16S ribosomal RNA
Rfam family: Bacterial small subunit ribosomal RNA
Source: RNAcentral
GACGAACGCUGGCGGCGUGCUUAACACAUGCCAGUCGAACGGAAAGGCCCUGCUUUUGUGGGGUGCUCGAGUGGCGAACGGGUGAGUAACACGUGAGUAACCUGCCCUUGACUUUGGGAUAACUUCAGGAAACUGGGGCUAAUACCGGAUAGGAGCUCCUGCUGCAUGGUGGGGGUUGGAAAGUUUCGGCGGUUGGGGAUGGACUCGCGGCUUAUCAGCUUGUUGGUGGGGUAGUGGCUUACCAAGGCUUUGACGGGUAGCCGGCCUGAGAGGGUGACCGGCCACAUUGGGACUGAGAUACGGCCCAGACUCCUACGGGAGGCAGCAGUGGGGAAUAUUGCACAAUGGGCGGAAGCCUGAUGCAGCAACGCCGCGUGCGGGAUGACGGCCUUCGGGUUGUAAACCGCUUUCGCCUGUGACGAAGCGUGAGUGACGGUAAUGGGUAAAGAAGCGCCGGCUAACUACGUG